Prunus avium (sweet cherry) is the source of this 113-nucleotide non-coding RNA. NCBI's taxonomy places the organism in Eukaryota, Viridiplantae, Streptophyta, Magnoliopsida, Rosales, Rosaceae. The record is from RefSeq and is a predicted model, not a curated record.
GCUGUUCGCUUAAACAAGGAAUUGGAUUUUAUCCUGACAUUCAAGUUGAAGGGGGAGGAUUUAAUACGGGAAAGUGGAAUACCAUAUACAAUUGUGAGGCCUUGUGCAUUAAC